UACAGAGGUCUCAAGCGUUGUUCGGAUUUACUGGGCGUAAAGGGCUCGUAGGUGGCCAACUAAGUCAGACGUGAAAUCCCUCAGCUUAACUGGGGAACUGCGUCUGAUACUGGAUGGCUUGAGUUUGGGAGAGGGAUGCGGAAUUCCAGGUGUAGCGGUGAAAUGCGUAGAUAUCUGGAGGAACACCGGUGGCGAAGGCGGCAUCCUGGACCAACACUGACACUGAUGAGCGAAAGCUAGGGGAGCGAACGGG
Molecule: ribosomal RNA, 253 nt
Filed under: uncultured bacterium
Lineage: Bacteria
Description: partial 16S ribosomal RNA
Rfam family: Bacterial small subunit ribosomal RNA
Source: RNAcentral